GACAAACGCCGGCGGCGUGCUUAACACAUGCAAGUCGAACGGUAAGGCCCUUCGGGGUACACGAGUGGCGAACGGGUGAGUAACACGUGGGUGAUCUGCCCUGCACUUCGGGAUAAGCCUGGGAAACUGGGUCUAAUACCGGAUAGGACCACUGCCUGCAUGGGUGGUGGUGGAAAGCUUUUGCGGUGUGGGAUGGGCCCGCGGCCUAUCAGCUUGUUGGUGGGGUGAUGGCCUACCAAGGCGACGACGGGUAGCCGGCCUGAGAGGGUGACCGGCCACACUGGGACUGAGAUACGGCCCUGACUCCUACGGGAGGCAGCAGUGGGGAAUAUUGCACAAUGGGCGCAAGCCUGAUGCAGCGACGCCGCGUGAGGGAUGACGGCCUUCGGGUUGUAAACCUCUUUCAGCACCGACGAAGCGCAAGUGACGGUAGGUGCAGAAGAAGGACCGGCCAACUACGUGCCAGCCGCCGCAGUAA
Molecule: ribosomal RNA, 478 nt
Filed under: uncultured bacterium
Lineage: Bacteria
Description: partial 16S ribosomal RNA
Rfam family: Bacterial small subunit ribosomal RNA
Source: RNAcentral